AACGCUGGCGGCGUGCCUAAUACAUGCAAGUCGAGCGAACAGACGAGGAGCUUGCUCCUCUGACGUUAGCGGCGGACGGGUGAGUAACACGUGGAUAACCUACCUAUAAGACUGGGAUAACUUCGGGAAACCGGAGCUAAUACCGGAUAACAUGUUGAACCGCAUGGUUCAACAGUGAAAGACGGUCUUGCUGUCACUUAUAGAUGGAUCCGCGCCGCAUUAGCUAGUUGGUAAGGUAACGGCUUACCAAGGCAACGAUGCGUAGCCGACCUGAGAGGGUGAUCGGCCACACUGGAACUGAGACACGGUCCAGACUCCUACGGGAGGCAGCAGUAGGGAAUCUUCCGCAAUGGGCGAAAGCCUGACGGAGCAACGCCGCGUGAGUGAAGAAGGUCUUCGGAUCGUAAAACUCUGUUAUUAGGGAAGAACAAAUGUGUAAGUAACUAUGCACGUCUUGACGGUACCUAAUCAGAAAGCCACGGCUAACUACGUGCCAGCAGCCGCGGUAAUACGUAGGUGGCAAGCGUUAUCCGGAAUUAUUGGGCGUAAAGCGCGCGUAGGCGGUUUUUUAAGUCUGAUGUGAAAGCCCACGGCUCAACCGUGGAGGGUCAUUGGAAACUGGAAAACUUGAGUGCAGAAGAGGAAAGUGGAAUUCCAUGUGUAGCGGUGAAAUGCGCAGAGAUAUGGAGGAACACCAGUGGCGAAGGCGACUUUCUGGUCUGUAACUGACGCUGAUGUGCGAAAGCGUGGGGAUCAAACAGGAUUAGAUACCCUGGUAGUCCACGCCGUAAACGAUGAGUGCUAAGUGUUAGGGGGUUUCCGCCCCUUAGUGCUGCAGCUAAC
RNAcentral lists this ribosomal RNA (843 nucleotides) under Staphylococcus sp. M_Sw_oHS_01/11_10_3(1). RNAcentral's name for it is "bacterial SSU rRNA". It matches the Rfam family "Bacterial small subunit ribosomal RNA", at positions 32 to 856 of the family's 1533-position model. The record is from RNAcentral. Lineage: Bacteria; Bacillati; Bacillota; Bacilli; Caryophanales; Staphylococcaceae.